UACGGAGGGUGCAAGCGUUGUUCGGAAUCAUUGGGCGUAAAGCGCGUGUAGGCGGGGUGGCAUGUCGGUUGUGAAAGCCCCCGGCUCAACCGGGGAAUUGCGUCCGAAACUGCCACUCUUGAGUACGGGAGAGGGAAGCGGAAUUUCCAGUGUAGAGGUGAAAUUCGUAGAUAUUGGAAGGAACACCGGUGGCGAAGGCGGCUUCCUGGACCGAUACUGACGCUGAGACGAGAAAGCGUGGGGGGCAAACAGG
Molecule: ribosomal RNA, 253 nt
Filed under: uncultured bacterium
Lineage: Bacteria
Description: partial 16S ribosomal RNA
Rfam family: Bacterial small subunit ribosomal RNA
Source: RNAcentral